UGCUGAAGCAAGGGGACCAAGGUCAAGUCCUGCCUGCAUUACAGAGUGAGCUGAAGGCCAGACUGAGCAACUUGGUGAGAACCUGUCUUAAAAUAAAAGGAAAUGGCUUCCAGAAUCCUCUUCAAAUAUUCAUGUGGUCUAUUGCGGACACUACAGAGAACACUCUCCCCAUAACAUCCAUUCCCAGACCCCCUCCUCAGCCUUCAGCCUCCGGCACAGGUGGGAACCAGGACAACACUAGCCACCCUGCACCACGGGCUCACAAAGAUGCUCUCCCAAGAUGAGAGGCUAAGGUCCAUCAGGAACCUCUGAACCCAGCUAACCAGAGGCAGAGCGGGGGCUGUUCUCUGGCUCCUCCGUGUCUCCGAUAUAUGACUUCAUUCCAGAAAAUUCCACUGAUCUGCCAGGUCUCUUUUUCAUCACCAGCGCCUUCUGACCUGGGCCCGGGCCAUCCUAAUUCCAUCUCCAGAGGCUCAGUAAUGCUGGUCCAUUCCACUCCUUUAGCUUUCCAGAUGUGGACACGAAAUCUCCCCACAUCAUAGAUGAGCCAACAAAAAGUCUAGCCUGCAGGCUUAUUAUUAUUAUUGUUAAUCAGAUACUGCCUGACUCAGGCUGUGCAAGCACUGGGACACAAGCAUUUUAGGAACCUUGGAGUUGGUUCCCCAAUGUCCCCAUACAUCAGUGUUCCCCUGGAGUUUCCCGAAGCAGCCCUCUCAACCCGGGCACCUUCUGAGAUGUCCCCUCUCACUAGUGGCACUUCCCACAGAGAUGAGUCUAUGAAUCCACACCAGUCCACUGGGCCUCUCUCCCUCAGCCACCCCAGUGACCCUAAACUAAACUGCAAGUGCCCGAAGAUGCCGUCACCUUAACUGCGCAGACUCCACCGCUGAUGUCACCAGCCCUCCUUAGAAGCGCAGUGAGCAUUGUGUUUGAUGGUGUCAGUAACGAUUUAAAUACAACAAAAAUACCGAGUAAACCUCAGGAUUCACAAAUCUCCCAAAUUAAAAAAGCAACAAUGACACAUGGCAAGAGUGGUGGUCCGUGUCUGAAAUUCCAGCACUCAGAAGUCUGAGGCUGGAGGAUCGCUCUGAGUUCAAGGACAUGCUAGGUUAGAGCAAAACCCCACCCAACCAUGCCCCCACAAAAUAGCGCAGUGACAGGUAAUUUACUCCAGUAAGAAUGAAUGAGUGUGAGCGCCUCCUCAGCUCUUGGUGACUUCUCUGUUGGAGAGAGGCUUCCCCCUUGAAACCAUUUUUAAGUUUUGUUUUGUUUUCUCAUUUCUACAUGGCUACUUCAGGCUAAACCUAGCCUGUACCUUUAAUGUGCCCCAUGUUUUCUUUUGUUGUGGUUAAGAACAUGCUUU
This is a long non-coding RNA of Mesocricetus auratus (golden hamster), 1363 nucleotides long. RefSeq lists it as uncharacterized. The transcript has 3 exons. The record is from RefSeq and is a predicted model, not a curated record. Lineage: Eukaryota; Metazoa; Chordata; Mammalia; Rodentia; Cricetidae.